AAGCCCAAUACUCAUAAAACCCUUGCACUUUAAAAGAACUCUUCUUCUACAUCUUCACAACCUAGACCCGGCUAAGACAAAAAAUUCCUACAACUCCAACUUCAGCGGCAGACCUAAGAGCUCCUCACGACUGAAACCCUAUGUUGCUUACUUUCUGCUUUUUCUUUUUGAAUAUUGCGUUUGUCCCCUAUUAGACUAUCUAUAUUCUCUAAAUUUUAUGAAUUGUCCUCGCUCCCUAAAAUAUGAAAUCUCUGUGGAUCCUACAAUUCCACUCUAUUUGGACCUUGGCAGAUUCUUUUCUUUUUUUCUAGUGGAUAAUGAGUGCAUCUACUCUGCUCCACUUAAAUGCCAUGCUUUUGUCCGUGAUAGAGUUUGGACUCGUGACGCGUGCCUAAGCUGCACAUCACUCAUUUUGUUCUCACCACUAGACUAAAACUCCAAGGGCUCAAUUGCUAUUUGGCUUUCACUAAAAAUAUUUGUGGAUUUUGGUCACUGUCACGAGGAGCCAUCACAUAAACAAACUUAAGUCAAUCAUGUCGCUUGCAAAUGGCCUUAUGCUUAUUGACAAAGGGAGAGAAAGAUGCACUAUAUGAAGUACAUCUAAUUUCCAACACAACAUUAUAGAUUGUGAGAAAUUUUGCAACUAUCAGUAUAGUCUGUUGUUACAUAAUUCAUCCUGCCACAUCAAUAUUUGAUACUUCUUCAGUUUUGCAUUGUACAUUGUUAAAACCAUAGGAAUAUAUAGAAUGAUGGAAAUUAAAACCUCA
Molecule: long non-coding RNA, 767 nt
Organism: Nicotiana tabacum (common tobacco)
Lineage: Eukaryota; Viridiplantae; Streptophyta; Magnoliopsida; Solanales; Solanaceae
Source: RefSeq, a predicted model, not a curated record